UUCACUAUUUCUUUCUCUCUGGAUCCAAUUUUCGAGCUCUCAAUUGGACAAAUACGUAAUAGCCAAUCCAAAAGGAUAACUCCCAAAGUAUUAUUAUGAUCCUACCUGAUUCUAACGAAUGAAUGUUCCACAAAAAUUGAAAUAGAAUUUUUCUAAACUAAUCUGUGUUAGUCAAAAUAUUGAACUAACUCAAAAGUCGUUCGUAAACCAAGAUGGAAACGCAUGUGACAGAACUGGAAUAUCUGCAUAAGCUGACCGCUUUGACUUUUAGGAAGUUUUCUCGCAAGAUGUCGGGGGAUGUUUUGCGCGAUGAGCCGCUAUGUUCUUGGGCGAAAUGACUUGCUUGUCGUGGCGAACGCCUUUAAAAUUCCGGCCUAAAUUAAAUCACAUAGUAUUGUAAUCUUGCCGGUGGAAUUAUUUAACAUCUUAAGUGUGUGUUGCCAGCGGUGCAAAAUCAGAAGACGGAAAUUGUUCGUGGAAACUGUAACAGUGCAUGUAACACUGCCAGAACCACGAAACGAAAUAACAGAUACUGUUUUAACAAAGAAAUAAGACUAUUUGGAUUGAAAUUGAAGGAUUCUGAAGGAAUACGUGACUUUAAUAGUAAUUGAAAUGGGUGUCAGGGCAAGUACCGUAGCACAAUCUGCAGGAGGCAACAGUCAAUCAUCUACUGGGACCAAUGAAACUACGAUGCAAGGCUUUUCUGUGCUUCGUUCCUUGCCUGGAGGUGUUGGCAUGUUGCAGCAUCAACAUCAACAAGGAAAUCAGUCGCAGACUUCUCGAGUAUCAGGAGAUAAUAGACAACGUGCACGUUCUCUUAGUUCUGUUCCGGAUCUUUCUUCAGGAGAACAAGGUGCUCUUGCUUCUACUGUUGGUGUUGGAGUAGCCCAGGCUCUUGGAUUGCCACAGCUUGAAAAUGAUGAUGCAGACGAAGAUAGCGGUAGGGUAUAUGCCGCUCACAGCUUGCCUUCCCACAUGUGGUCCCUUAACGGUCUAAAGUGUCCUGUAUGCUCUAAGUUUAUCCUACCGGAUGAUAUAGAGUGUCACCUGGUAAUGUGCCUGACCAAGCCACGUCUUAGUUAUAAUGAGGACGUAUUAGCAGAUGAAAAAGGUGAAUGUGUUAUUUGUCUAGAGGAAUUACAGCCUGGUGAUGUUAUUGCCCGCUUGCCCUGUCUUUGUAUAUAUCAUAAAAAUUGCAUUGAUAAAUGGUUUCAAGUGAAUCGUAGCUGCCCUGAACACCCUGGAGAUUGAUUUGCACUUUGAAGAUUACAGUGGAUUAAGAGUCUGGCCCAGAGGACACUUAUGUCAAUGGGAAUAGGAAGGGAGAUAACGACAGAAAUUUGAAAAAAGCUAGUCAAGGUGGCUGCUAGUCCGCAAUGGUGGUUGGUGCAUGCGGUGAUUGUUCAAUGGAACAAGAUACACUGAAAUUAAACUUCAGAACGGACGUUUGAUUAAAUUCUCGACUCUAUUAUUACUAAGGAGAGGACUUAAAAAACAAAUCGCCAUAAGUUUCAACGAUACAAUGCUAUUAACUAUACGUAUCUAUAAUUAAUCUAUUAUUACUCUAUCGCUUAUUAUCAAUUGUACUAUAUUUAUAAAUUUUACUUAGUUUUACAACUUGAAGUCGAUUUAACAUUAAGCAAAAGAGUUUUUAUCAUUACUGAUGAUUAUUUUUUCUUUGGAAAGGGGAGAUACAGGACGAAUCAUAGUCAAAGGACCUGCCCCAUGCAGGGGAGCCAGGAUGUAUAAGAAUUUCAAGCAGAGGACUUGUCGCAAUAUUGUUGAUGCUGUAGUAACAAUAAAGGUUCUGAUUUAACCUUCUCUAUUGAAAUUUAUGCUAAUGUGAUAAUCUCUUUUAUGUUCUUAGAGAAUUGGCAUUCUCCGUGUUACUAAAAAGUGUACAUAUGAUAAUAUUAAUUGUAAAUCAACUACCUUAUAAUUAAUCCCUUUUAUAUAUGAUAAGGAUAAACGUAACACCGUGAUAGUUUUUGUAAUGCAAAGAUGCAGGUCUGUCAAUUUUCCAGUAACAUACAAAAACUCACGAAAUAUUGGAAUCGGACAUGUAUUGCAUAAAAUAAUAACUGUAAUAAAACGAUGACAAUUUGAAAAUACGUAGAGAAAAGUAGUCAAAAUAAAAUGAAAUGUGGAUAUGUAUUAUAUCAA
Molecule: unclassified non-coding RNA, 2163 nt
Filed under: Polistes fuscatus (common paper wasp)
Lineage: Eukaryota; Metazoa; Arthropoda; Insecta; Hymenoptera; Vespidae
Description: e3 ubiquitin-protein ligase ZNRF1, transcript variant X1
Source: RNAcentral